Molecule: ribosomal RNA, 229 nt
Filed under: uncultured Bolidomonas
Lineage: Eukaryota; Bolidophyceae
Description: partial Bacterial small subunit ribosomal RNA
Rfam family: Bacterial small subunit ribosomal RNA
Source: RNAcentral
GCUGCAUGGCUGUCGUCAGCUCGUGUCGUGAGAUGUUCGGUUAAGUCCGGCAACGAGCGCAACCCACAUCCUUAGUUGCCAGCAGUUCGGCUGGGCACUCUAGGGAAACUGCCCGUGAUAAGCGGGAGGAAGGUGUGGAUGACGUCAAGUCCUCAUGGCCCUUACGGGUUGGGCUACACACGUGCUACAAUGGCAAGUACAGUGAGUUAAUCUCCAAAACUUGUCUCAG